Small nuclear RNA from Nannospalax galili (Upper Galilee mountains blind mole rat), 150 nucleotides. Its record names the gene U12. It matches the Rfam family "U12 minor spliceosomal RNA". Rfam says of the family: Although the U12 sequence is very divergent from that of U2, the two are functionally analogous. The record is from Ensembl. NCBI's taxonomy places the organism in Eukaryota, Metazoa, Chordata, Mammalia, Rodentia, Spalacidae.
CUGCCUUAAACUUAUGAGUAAGGAAAAUAAAGAUUUGGGGUGAUGCUCGAGUCCACACUGCUAAUGUGAGACGAAUUUUAGAGCAGGUUAAGGUUGCCCAUAAGGACACUCCCCUACUUUGUGGGAUGCCUGAGUGAAGCCAUCUGCCUG